AUUCACUUGGCUGUGUUUGGAAUUUUGGGGCUGUUCACAAGAUACCUAUUGCAGAAGCUUCUUGGUCCUGGCCUUGUUAAGCUCACAGGGGAAAUUUCAGCACUGUACCCUGAUCCCCUGCCUGUUAUUGCAUGCCUCAUUUCAGGUUCCUUCUUCAUGGCAUGGUUUGGUGUGAUAUUCAGGGCUGAUCUCCGUGAUAUAUCCGAUCAUUUGGUGAUUGGAUUAACUACAGGAUAUCUUGGAAGCCUUUCCACCUUUAGUGGAUUAAUUAUGAACAUGCUUGAUUUCUCAACAAGAGGCCAUUGGGUAUUCGCCAUCGGUUACAUAGUUCUCGGAUUGGCAGUCAUGAAUGAGAGCAUGCGAUACGGGUUAGAGACAGCAGAGGUGCUUCGCAAAUGUAUACUGAAUUGGCACAACAAAAGCUCUCAAAAAACCAAAGUUAUGCUUCAAAAACUUGAGAGUGAACACUUAUAAUCGACGUAUUUUAGUUCUGAUAUCGAUGAUAAUGAUCUACAUCACUUUAUGGAGCUUAAGUUGUGUAUUAGCGACGAGGAAGCUAGAUAGCGUCGCUAGUGGAGCUGUUCUUUGGUUAGGCUGUUUGGUUGGACCACCGGGCGUGUGGAUCCGAUGGUACCUUGCAAGACUAAAUGGCCGGGGAAUUGGAAGGAAGGGAAUCCUCAAAUGGCUUCCAACAGGAACAUUAAUUGUCAAUGUUCUUGCAUGUUGUAUCAUGGCAGCACUCUCAACAAUUACUAAAGAGGUGAACACAAAGAGAUGUCAGAUCAUUGCAAGAGGAAUUCAAUUUGGGUUUGUAGGCUCUUUAAGUACUAUUGCUGCUUUUGCUGCAGAAAUUUUUGCAAUGAGGCAGAAAUGGACACUUUUUGAGGGCUAAUGCUUACAUGCUACUUACUGUCAUUCCUUCUUUUGGACUUGGGACUCUGAUUUACUCUUUACCAGUUUGGUUGAAACAUUACAAUUUGUUGAAUUAAUCUCCAAAAACAA
Molecule: long non-coding RNA, 1002 nt
Organism: Dioscorea cayenensis subsp. rotundata (Guinea yam)
Lineage: Eukaryota; Viridiplantae; Streptophyta; Magnoliopsida; Dioscoreales; Dioscoreaceae
Exons: 5
Source: RefSeq, a predicted model, not a curated record